Molecule: ribosomal RNA, 253 nt
Filed under: uncultured bacterium
Lineage: Bacteria
Description: partial 16S ribosomal RNA
Rfam family: Bacterial small subunit ribosomal RNA
Source: RNAcentral
UACGAAGGGGGCUAGCGUUGCUCGGAAUUACUGGGCGUAAAGGGCGCGUAGGCGGACAGUUUAGUCAGAGGUGAAAGCCCAGGGCUCAACCUUGGAAAUGCCUUUGAUACUGACUGUCUUGAGUUCGGGAGAGGUGAGUGGAAUGCCGAGUGUAGAGGUGAAAUUCGUAGAUAUUCGGCGGAACACCAGUGGCGAAGGCGACUCACUGGCCCGAUACUGACGCUGAGGCGCGAAAGCGUGGGGAGCAAACAGG